AAUACUACAUUAAGGCACACAGUGAAUGCCCUGACAUCUAUACCCGAAGAAGGACGCGCCAAACUGCGAUAUGCUUGGAGAAGCUGUUUAGAAGCGCCAUACUCCAAGAUUUCCGAAUGGGGAAACCCCACCUUUUAAGGUGAUCCGCCUCUGGCGGAAGGACACUCUGUGAACUGAAAUAUCUCAGUAGCAGAGGAAAAGAAAUCAAAUACGAGAUUCCCUGAGUAGUGACGAGCGAAACGGGAACAGUCUAAACCACCCCACUGUAAGGACAGACCGUUGGUGCGGUGGUGUUGCGAGGUAUAUUUACUGCAAUCUGUAAAGCAGACAAUGUGUGUUCCGUGAAGAAAAAUUACCUGGGAAGGUAAGCCAAAGAGGGUUACAGCCCCGUAUUCAUAAGCGCGUACAUAUGUUGCAAUAUAUUCUCAAGUAAGAUCGGACACGUGAAAUCCGGUUUGAAUCUGGGUCGACCAUGAUCCAAGACUAAAUACUAUAGAUGAUCGAUAGCGAACUAGUACCAUGAGGGAAAGGUGAAAAGAACCCCGAGAGGGGAGUGAAAUAGAACCUGAAACUGUGUGCUGAUGAAGAGUGGGAGCUUAUAGAGCAAUCUAUUUAGUGACCGCGUACUUUUUGUAGAACGGACCAACGACUUAGUUGUAUGUGGCAAGGUUAAGGAAGAAACAUCCGGAGCCGAAGCGAAAGCGAGUCUGAAUAGGGCGCUAAGUCACGUACACUAGACCCGAAACCGGGAGAGCUACCCAUGAGCAGGAUGAAGUUCGACGAAAGUCGAAUGGAGGUCCGAACCAUUUAGAGCUGCAAGUCUAUUGGAUGACUCGUGGGUUGGAGUGAAAAGCUAAUCGAUCUCGGAGAUAGCUGGUUCUCCGCGAAAUAUAUUUAGGUAUAGCCGUAUUUAUCAAAGUAAGGGGGGUAGAGCACUAUUUGGACUAGUUGAGGUGAAUAACCUUUGCAAAUCCUGAUAAACUCCGAAUACCCUUAUCCAUGGAAUACGAGGCAGACUGCGACGGAUAAGCGCCGUAGUCGAGAGGGAAACAGCCCAGACUCCUAACUAAGGUCCCUAAUUUUUGAUUAAGUGGUAAAGGAAGUGGGAUUACUCAGACAGCCAGGAGGUUGGCUUAGAAGCAGCCAUUCCUUUAAAGAGUGCGUAACAGCUCACUGGUCGAGUGAUUCUGCGCCGAAAAUUCAACGGGGCUCAAAUUAAAAACCGAAGUUGGAGAUGUAAUAAAUAUAAUUAUUGCGUGGUAGCGGAGCGUUCCCCAUGCCGAUGAAGGUGAAUCGUGAGAUUUGCUGGAGGUACGGGAAGUGAAAAUGUUGGUAUGAGUAACGUAAAUGGAGUGAAAACCUCCAUCGCCGAAUGACUAAGGUUUCCUGUCCCAUGGCAGUCAUGGCAGGGUGAGUCGGUCCUAAGGUGUAGCCGAUAGGCGGAACCGAUGGAUAUCAGGUUAAUAUUCCUGAACUUUUUAUUCGCGUGUGCAGACUGUGACGGAUCGUGUUAUCGGAGCCACUAAUGAUUUAUGGUUUGGUAUUCAAGUCUUCGGGCGAGAAUAUUAACUCUUUUUCGGCUGACUUCGGUCAGUUUGAGGAGGAAGUCCUACGAUAAUAUGAUUCCAAGAAAAGCUAUCUGUAUUGAAUAAAAAACCGUACCGGAAUCGAACACACGUAGUCAGGUGUAAGUACACUAAGGCGUAUGGGAUAACUAUGCUUAAGGAACUCUGCAAAAAAACGUCCGUAACUUCGGGAGAAGGGCUCCCAUUAGUAUAAUUCAUGCUAGUGGGUUCAACGAACGAGCUCAGGCGACUGUUUACCAAAAACACAGCUCUCUGCUAAGGCGUAAGCCGAUGUAUAGGGGGUGAUGCCUGCCCAGUGCCAGAAGAUCACGAGGAGAGGUGCAAGCCUUGAAUCCAAGUCCUGGUGAACGGCGGCCGUAACUAUAACGGUCCUAAGGUAGCGAAAUUCCUUGUCGGGUAAGUUCCGACCCGCACGAAUGGCAUAACGAUCUGAGCACUGUCUCAAGCAUAGACCCAGUGAAAUUGUAAUAUCGGUAAAAAUACCGAUUACUCACAGCAAGACGGA
RNAcentral lists this ribosomal RNA (2091 nucleotides) under wastewater metagenome. RNAcentral's name for it is "bacterial LSU rRNA". It matches the Rfam family "Bacterial large subunit ribosomal RNA", at positions 1 to 2084 of the family's 2925-position model. The record is from RNAcentral.